This 693-nucleotide long non-coding RNA is filed under the name Homo sapiens (human). RNAcentral's name for it is "non-protein coding lnc-PTS-1:2". The record is from RNAcentral. Lineage: Eukaryota; Metazoa; Chordata; Mammalia; Primates; Hominidae.
GGCCCCUCCAGACGAUGGCCAUUCCUGUUGCCUUGGUCCGCAGGAACGAUGGGUUAUGCAUGAACUUUGUAGAACAUGGCCUUGUCUUCACCAACGCGGAGGAGAGCCCGUUCGGUUCCAGAGAGGAUGCUGCCUCAUCUCGUCUCUAAAAGAGGAGGAAGGGGAGCAGGUCCCUUCACGUUCUCUGGUCUCAGCUGAGAACUCUCCCUGGAAGUAGCGGGCCGUGAAAUGUUUCACAAGUGACACCAGUGAUGCUGUUAAACAAGGACAAUCCGGUUCAUGGAUUGUGACAACGCACGCUGACAUCAAGCAGACCCUGCCGUCAGGUACAGAGGGCACCACAGUGACCAGGAACUGCUGUCCUUUCAUACCAGGUUUUAGGAGGCUUUACCAGAAGGAAUGGAAAAUGCUGGUGGGCAGUAAGAUUGAAACAGCAUCUGAGGACUGGUUCUGCACAAAACCUUAAAUUCUUCAAGGACUUUGACAUUUGUUUAUUCUUGUAACAAAUUAAAACCUAUCCUGUGUGUUGGUUAGAGAUCUUCAAACUGUAAAUACCUUGAGGCAGGAGUGAGGUUUUUAUCUUUUAAAGGACAGGCCCCUACUCUCCUACGUAAUGAGUUUCUAAAAAUGGAUGUGAGCACCAAUCAAUAUUUCUCUGGUUGUUAAAGUCAAGAAUAAAAUGGUAUUUUUAAG